UUUCCGUAGGUGAACCCGCGGAAGGAUCAUUAUUGGAUUUUGAAACUUCAGGCUGCUGCUGGCUCUCCUCGGAGGGCAUGUGCACGCUUGUUGUCCAUUAUUUCUCCCACUGUGCACAAAUUGUAGACCUUUCAGUAGGCCUAUGUUGUUUUUCACAAUCUCUGAAUGUAAUAGAAUGGUUUUGAAUCUUGGGAAAUACAAUACAACUUUCAGCAACGGAUCUCUUGGCUCUCGCAUCGAUGCAGAACGCAGC
This 253-nucleotide unclassified non-coding RNA is filed under the name plant metagenome. RNAcentral describes it as "partial contains small subunit ribosomal RNA, internal transcribed spacer 1, and 5.8S ribosomal RNA". The stretch from base 205 to 253 matches the Rfam family "5.8S ribosomal RNA", at positions 1 to 49 of the family's 154-position model. The record is from RNAcentral.